GCGAGACUCUAAAGCGACGGUUAAGGGACAGGGGACGAGUGGAGCAAGUGGGCCUUAAUCUGAAAAUAACUUGAUUGUUUAAUGACAUUAAGAGAAAAAGAUUACGAGCUUUGAGAAGGAGGAAGCCUGGGAGUAACGACAGUUAAGGAGUUAGCUUGCGGAACCAACAUAAGAAUUUAUAACAGGGAGGUGUCGUUUGGGAUCAGACGCGUGGCCUGCAUUGCCGUAGCCACCGUGGUGUAAUGUUGCCACGUAAAAACCACAAAUCCCAGAAUUCAGUCGGGUGAUACACUGGCUCAGAAUGUGAUUGGCUGCGGGAACUAGUAGCUUCCUCAUUGGCUCCCGUGGAAGGAGUGAAUGCUGGGAUUUGCAGUCUGAUGGGGGAGCCGUGCUGGGUAAAAACCUUAGAAUCGUCGCGCACUCCGUUUCUGCCGCGGAUUCUUAUAUUCUCCAAUACAGGCUUUUUCUGUUAUGCAGUAUUUGCAGAGCAGGCUGCUGCAGUUUGGCCAGGCGCAUUGCGGAUCAGUUGGUGUUCUUGCCAGAGGCCUAGCAGCAGCUUCCUAGCGCUACUACUUGCACCUCCCAAGGCAGCUGAGCCUCCCCACUUCUCUGGCCAGACACACUCCUACCGUGCAUCGUAGAACCACCUCUCUGACGCCAGCAGGACCUUAGUAAGAGUAAUGGGUAUGCGACAGAUGGCUGUAGUCAGGCCCUACUGAUUUCAAAAUAGCUAAAAGACUAUCUCUGUAGUUAGCUUUUGUGGCCUUGAUGGACCUGCAGCUGUGUAUUGCUCCCUCAGACGUACAAAUUCGUGGAGAUGAGUUAUGAAAGUAUUUAGUAUCCAAGUUUUUCAUCUGCUUAAUAUUUGGGAUUUUAAACACAAGUUUUGCCAGCUAGGGGUCAACAUCCCUGAAAGUGUUAGGGAUGGAGCUAGCUGACAGGCCUUUCUAAAAGAACAGAGAGCCUGGUGAAGAGAUGAAAAAUCAAUCUCACUUGAUACUCCUGUUAAAAACAACAACAAACCUUUAAAUAGCUCUCUACUAACACAUAACUCAAAUCCGAUCAAAUCUACCUGACCUUUACCAUUGUUUUCUGUAUUCAUCAACUAUUACUGAGUACUUCAAAGUCAGGCAAUAGGAGUUAAUAAAACAGAUGAAACUUGGUUUAGCCUCAUAAUAUGUGUUUAAAUUUCACACAUACCUCUGAUCUGCUCUCAUGUAUCCUUCUACUUGAAUGUAUGUAAUAUAAAGGCC
This 1253-nucleotide long non-coding RNA is filed under the name Homo sapiens (human). RNAcentral describes it as "non-protein coding lnc-GRIP1-8:3". The record is from RNAcentral. Lineage: Eukaryota; Metazoa; Chordata; Mammalia; Primates; Hominidae.